UUCCGGUUGAUCCUGCCGGACCCGACUGCUAUCAGAGUGGGACUAAGCCAUGCGAGUCAACAUAGCAAUAUGUGGCAUACGGCUCAGUAACACGUAGUCAACAUGCCCAGGGGACGUGGAUAACCUCGGGAAACUGAGGAUAAACCGCGAUAGGUCAUCACUUCUGGAAUGGGUAAUGACUUAAACCUAUAUGGCCCCUGGAUUGGACUGCGGCCGAUCAGGCUGUUGGUGAGGUAAUGGCCCACCAAACCUGUAACCGGUACGGGCUCUGAGAGGAGGAGCCCGGAGAUGGGCACUGAGACAAGGGCCCAGGCCCUAUGGGGCGCAGCAGGCGCGAAACCUCUGCAAUAGGCGAAAGCUUGACAGGGUUACUCUGAGUGAUUUCCGUUAAGGAGAUCUUUUGGCACCUCUAAAAAUGGUGCAGAAUAAGGGGUGGGCAAGUCUGGUGUCAGCCGCCGCGGUAAUACCAGCACCCCGAGUGGUCGGGACGUUUAUUGGGCCUAAAGCAUCCGUAGCCGGUUCUACAAGUCUUCCGUUAAAUCCACCUGCUUAACAGAUGGGCUGCGGAAGAUACUAUAGAGCUAGGAGGCGGGAGAGGCAAGCGGUACUCGAUGGGUAGGGGUAAAAUCCGUUGAUCCAUUGAAGACCACCAGUGGCGAAGGCGGCUUGCCAGAACGCGCUCGACGGUGAGGGAUGAAAGCUGGGGGAGCAAACCGGAUUAGAUACCCGGGUAGUCCCAGCUGUAAACGAUGCAGACUCGGUGAUGAGUUGGCUUAUUGCUAACUCAGUGCCGCAGGGAAGCCGUUAAGUUUGCCGCCUGGGGAGUACGGUCGCAAGACUGAAACUUAAAGGAAUUGGCGGGGGAGCACCACAAGGGGUGAAGCCUGCGGUUCAAUUGGAUUCAACGCCGGG
RNAcentral lists this ribosomal RNA (912 nucleotides) under uncultured archaeon. RNAcentral describes it as "bacterial SSU rRNA". It matches the Rfam family "Archaeal small subunit ribosomal RNA", at positions 1 to 922 of the family's 1478-position model. The record is from RNAcentral.